GUGUCAGCAGCCGCGGUAAUACGUAGGGAGCGAGCGUUACUCGGAAUCACUGGGCAUAAAGGGAGCGUAGGCGGGUGUGCAAGUCCGGUGUGAAAUCCCCCGGCUCAACCGGGGAAUGCCAUCGGAAACUGCAUGUCUGGAGUGCGGGAGGGGAGAGUGGAACUCUUGGUGGAGCGGUGAAAUGCGUAGAUAUCAAGAGGAACGCCGGUGGCGAAAGCGGCUCUCUGGCCCGUAACUGACGCUGAGGCUCGAAAGCUAGGGGAGCAAACGGGAUUAGAUACCCCGGUAGUCCUAGCCGUAAACGAUGGGCACUAAGUAGGGGCGGUUCCGAUACUGUCUCUGCUGCAGCCAACGCGCUAAGUGCCCCGCCUGGGGAGUACGGUCGCAAGGCUGAAACUUAAAUGAAUUGACGGGG
Molecule: ribosomal RNA, 415 nt
Filed under: uncultured prokaryote
Description: bacterial SSU rRNA
Rfam family: Bacterial small subunit ribosomal RNA
Source: RNAcentral